GACGAACGCUGGCGGCGUGCUUAACACAUGCAAGUCGAACGGAGUGGCGAACCGGUGAGUAACACGUGGGUGACCUUCCCUGCACUUCGGGAUAAGCCUGGGAAACUGGGUCUAAUACCGGAUAGUGUGGGAUGGGCCCGCGGCCUAUCAGUUGGUUGGUGGGGUAAUGGCCUACCAAGGCGGCGACGGGUAGCCGGCCUGAGAGGGUGGCCGGCCACAGUGGGACUGAGACACGGCCCAGACGCGUACGGGAGGCAGCAGGGGGGAAUAUUGCACAAUGGGCGGAAGCCUGAUGCAGCGACGCCGCGUGGGGGAUGACGGCCUUCGGGUUGGAAACUCCUUUAGCCAUAGACGCGGUAGAUGGAGAAGAAGCACCGGCUAACUACGUGCCAGCAGCCGCGGUAAUUC
This 408-nucleotide ribosomal RNA is filed under the name uncultured bacterium. Its description in RNAcentral is "partial 16S ribosomal RNA". It matches the Rfam family "Bacterial small subunit ribosomal RNA", at positions 28 to 526 of the family's 1533-position model. The record is from RNAcentral.